This 79-nucleotide transfer-messenger RNA is filed under the name Deltaproteobacteria bacterium. RNAcentral's name for it is "partial transfer-messenger RNA". It matches the Rfam family "transfer-messenger RNA", at positions 294 to 374 of the family's 374-position model. From Rfam's summary of the family: Bacterial tmRNA, also known as 10Sa RNA or SsrA, is named for its dual tRNA and mRNA-like properties. Its role is to liberate the mRNA from a stalled ribosome. Lineage: Bacteria; Pseudomonadati; Myxococcota; Myxococcia. The record is from RNAcentral.
CACUUAUUAUCGGGCUAUGUAUGUAGAAGCUUAAGUGGAUUGCUUCCGGACGGGGGUUCGACUCCCCCCGCCUCCACCA